CAGUGGUGGCCAGAGAGGGAGGCAGGAUUCUCUUCCACAGGGAUCAAAGGGGGCAGGGCCCUGCCAACAGCUUGGUGUUGCACUUCUUGAUUACCUGGGCUCUGGCAGCCUCUCUGGGUGAGUUUCUCAAUUAGAAUGAAAAAUCUCUAACAAUUCUUCACCCAGAUCCUCAUUUGUCUUUUUAGAACUGAAGCAAAAAUUGAACUCUCUGAGUUGGCUUAAUGGAGUUCAUCCAGGAGGCCGUGGGGCUGGUG
RNAcentral lists this long non-coding RNA (254 nucleotides) under Homo sapiens (human). Its description in RNAcentral is "non-protein coding lnc-KIDINS220-16:2". Lineage: Eukaryota; Metazoa; Chordata; Mammalia; Primates; Hominidae. The record is from RNAcentral.